RNAcentral lists this ribosomal RNA (362 nucleotides) under uncultured fungus. RNAcentral's name for it is "eukaryotic LSU rRNA". It matches the Rfam family "Eukaryotic large subunit ribosomal RNA", at positions 40 to 398 of the family's 3401-position model. Lineage: Eukaryota; Fungi. The record is from RNAcentral.
AUAUCAAUAAGCGGAGGAAAAGAAACCAACAGGGAUUGCCUCAGUAACUGCGAGUGAAGCGGCAAAAGCUCAAAUUUGAAAUCUGGUACCUCUGGGUGCCCGAGUUGUAAUUUGGAGAGGCAACUUCGGAGGAGGCGCCUGUCUAAGUUCCUUGGAACAGGACGUCAUAGAGGGUGAGAAUCCCGUGUCAGCGGGCUGUCCUUCUCCAUGUGAAGUGUCUUCGACGAGUCGAGUUGUUUGGGAAUGCAGCUCAAAAUGGGUGGUAAACUCCAUCUAAGGCUAAAUAUUGGCGAGAGACCGAUAGCGCACAAGUAGAGUGAUCGAAAGAUGAAAAGCACUUUGAAAAGAGAGUUAAAAAGUAC